Molecule: ribosomal RNA, 986 nt
Filed under: Microbacterium trichothecenolyticum
Lineage: Bacteria; Bacillati; Actinomycetota; Actinomycetes; Micrococcales; Microbacteriaceae
Description: bacterial SSU rRNA
Rfam family: Bacterial small subunit ribosomal RNA
Source: RNAcentral
AAGCCAAGCUUGCUUGGUGGAUCAGUGGCGAACGGGUGAGUAACACGUGAGCAACCUGCCCUGGACUCUGGGAUAAGCGCUGGAAACGGCGUCUAAUACUGGAUAUGAGCUCUCAUCGCAUGGUGGGGGUUGGAAAGAUUUUUUGGUCUGGGAUGGGCUCGCGGCCUAUCAGCUUGUUGGUGAGGUAAUGGCUCACCAAGGCGUCGACGGGUAGCCGGCCUGAGAGGGUGACCGGCCACACUGGGACUGAGACACGGCCCAGACUCCUACGGGAGGCAGCAGUGGGGAAUAUUGCACAAUGGGCGGAAGCCUGAUGCAGCAACGCCGCGUGAGGGAUGACGGCCUUCGGGUUGUAAACCUCUUUUAGCAGGGAAGAAGCGAGAGUGACGGUACCUGCAGAAAAAGCGCCGGCUAACUACGUGCCAGCAGCCGCGGUAAUACGUAGGGCGCAAGCGUUAUCCGGAAUUAUUGGGCGUAAAGAGCUCGUAGGCGGUUUGUCGCGUCUGCUGUGAAAUCCCGAGGCUCAACCUCGGGCCUGCAGUGGGUACGGGCAGACUAGAGUGCGGUAGGGGAGAUUGGAAUUCCUGGUGUAGCGGUGGAAUGCGCAGAUAUCAGGAGGAACACCGAUGGCGAAGGCAGAUCUCUGGGCCGUAACUGACGCUGAGGAGCGAAAGGGUGGGGAGCAAACAGGCUUAGAUACCCUGGUAGUCCACCCCGUAAACGUUGGGAACUAGUUGUGGGGACCAUUCCACGGUUUCCGUGACGCAGCUAACGCAUUAAGUUCCCCGCCUGGGGAGUACGGCCGCAAGGCUAAAACUCAAAGGAAUUGACGGGGACCCGCACAAGCGGCGGAGCAUGCGGAUUAAUUCGAUGCAACGCGAAGAACCUUACCAAGGCUUGACAUACACCAGAACACCGUAGAAAUACGGGACUCUUUGGACACUGGUGAACAGGUGGUGCAUGGUUGUCGUCAGCUCGUGUCGUGA